UAUAUUGCACAAUGGGCGAAAGCCUGAUGCAGCGACGCCGCGCGGGGGACGAAGGCCUUCGGGUUGUAAACCCCUUUCAGCAGGGAAGAAGCGAGAGUGACGGCACCUGCAGAAGAAGCGCCGGCUAACUACGUGCCAGCAGCCGCGGUAAUACGUAGGGGGCAAGCGUUGUCCGGAAUUAUUGGGCGUAAAUAGCUGGCAGGCGGUCAGCCGCGUCUGCUGUGAAAACCCGAGGCUCAACCUCGGGCCUGCAGUGGGUACGGGCUGACAAGAGUGCGGUAGGAGAGACUGGAAUUCCUGGUGUAGCGGUGGAAUGCGCAGGUAUCAGGAGGAACACCGAUGGCGAAGGCAGGUCUCUGGGCCGCAACUGACGCUGAGGAGCGAAAGCAUGGGGAGCGAACA
RNAcentral lists this ribosomal RNA (402 nucleotides) under uncultured bacterium. Its description in RNAcentral is "partial 16S ribosomal RNA". It matches the Rfam family "Bacterial small subunit ribosomal RNA", at positions 359 to 774 of the family's 1533-position model. The record is from RNAcentral.